This is a non-coding RNA of Peromyscus maniculatus bairdii (prairie deer mouse), 3106 nucleotides long. NCBI's taxonomy places the organism in Eukaryota, Metazoa, Chordata, Mammalia, Rodentia, Cricetidae. The record is from RefSeq and is a predicted model, not a curated record.
ACCCCCACCCUUUCUCUGUCUCCAACUCUCUCUCUUUUAUUUUCUUAUUUUUCUUUCUUCCUCUUUUUCUUUUUCCAUUUUCUUCCUUUCUCUUUCUUUCCCAUACUCAUUCUUCUUACUGUUACAUCUCCCAAAGCCUGACCUCCCAGAGGCUGACCUCCUCCUUAACAGUCUGCUAUUAACCAAAAUGCCACAUAGCCACACUAUUCUUCCUUUGCCUCAAUUAUUUCCACCCCUAUGUAUGUCCCUGUCCUCUACUUCCCACAUAACCUAAUACUCAUCACUGGUCUCACGGUGGUUGUUUACCUCUUCUUCUUCGCUUUUCCUUUGCAUUUAUACUAACAUAUUACUAUAUGCAGUAUCAUUAGGGUCCCUUUACUCCCCAACUAAUCAGUACCUACCAAGAGUUUGCUUUGAAGUCCCUGCUACUCUAUUAUCAGAGUGGGUUAACUACUGGGUUGUGAUGGUUGCUGCAGACACUACUCAUCCCAUAGGGGCAGAAUGAAGAUAAAGCCAGAUACCUGGAACUCCAGUCUAAGGGGCUGAAAUAUCAUCACAACUAUAUUACACCCCGGUCUCUCUUGAGCACUGAAAAUUAAUCCACCAAAAGAAAAGAGGCAACCUGAAUUAAAAGAACAAAACCAACAAGUCUUAACUAAUGAUCUAACCUCAGAUGGGCAGAUUCUAGUGUAAAGACACAGUAACAUGAAAAAAAAAAAGACAAUCAUCUCCUCCAAAAUUUAUAAAGCCCAUACUAAUGACCCCUGAUAAAAAAAUUACAUAGAUAAAAUUCCAGAGGCAUGUGUUGCUAUUCUAACAUAUGACAAAAUAGACUUCAAGCCAAUUCUUUUAUUAUUAUUAUUAUUAUUAUUAGUUUUAUUUCAUAUUUUUCAUAUAAUACAUUUUGAUCAUGAUUUCCCUUCCCCUAAGAAAUAAUAGUCCUUCCUUUACCCAUAGCAUGAUAUUUGUAUUUUAUUCCUCUCCAAAGGGAAGGGUGCAUUAUGUACCGGUGAUAGACUUAACUGUUGAAAGAUUGGCCAUACACUAGCAGAAUGUUAUCUUACAUUUAAAGGGGGUUCUGUCAACAGAGGAGGGAGCCUAAAUUGAGAUGGGCAGUAGGGUUUAGUUAUGCUCUCUCAUAUCAUAAUUAUUACAUAAUUAUUUACUUCUCACUAAAAACAAAUCUGACCAUGUAGACUUGCUGAGCUACGUGGUCAUCAGUGGAAAGGGACCAUAGCAGAAAAUAUUGCUUGACAUAGCAGGAGGCAGAGUACAUGCUGUUCAAAGUUCUUAUCCACGUGCUUGCCCUCAGCUAAAGCAAUGAUAGCUGGUAAGGACUGAGAUGUGAUAAACUCUAUGGCCCUGAAAAUGCCACUGUAGUAAAACUUUACCCAGAAAGCUUAAAUGCCAAGAAUAUUGACCUAGCAUCCUUCAGACUGAGCCUCAAAGUAUGAACCACAUCAGAGCCCACAUCAGAACCUAAAGAGCCUUAAAGGAUGUGGCAUCUGAGUCUUAUCCAGGUGAGUUAAUCCAUUUUGAGCAAGUCCCAGGAUUCUAUAAUGUUGCUUUGUAACUAAAGUUUGAGAAACACCAUUCCAGUUACUGAUGAUGCUUCCAUAAUUAAAACUUUUCAAACCUGGUAAGUAGCUGUAAAGCAUACUGUAUACGGAUACCAUAAGUACAGUGAUUGGUUCCAGAACAGCUUCUCUCACCAGACUCAAGGAUACCAGAAUCUCCAGAUAAUCAAGCUCCUGCAUAAAAUGUUGUCAUGUUUGAAUUUAUACUUCCACACAUUCUCCUGUAUCCUUUAAAUCAUUCGUUUAAUAUUUCAUUCCUGCUGCGGUGACAAAACACCAUGACUUAUGGAAGAAACUUGUAGAAGGAGUUUAUUCUGGCUUACCUUCCAGAGGGCUGAGACCGUCAUAUGGGCAGGAGACAUGACAGCAAGUGGCAGGCAAGGCAGCAGGAACAGGAAGUGGAGAGAUGACUUCAACACAAACGUGAAGCCGGAAGAGUGAGCUGGAAGUGGGACGAGGCUAUAUAAACUCUCAGAGCCCACCCCUAGUGAUGUACUUCCGCCAGCAAAGCUGUACUAUUCCCAAAGCUGCACCUCAGCUGGGGACCAAGGGCCCGAACACCUGAAACUACAGGAGACAUUAUUCAGUCCACCACACUUGUUUGGGAAAUAAUGAGGAAAAAGGAGUCUGUACUGUUCAGUGCAGAAAGGAUCUCACCCCUACAACAGUAGACGAAGGACUCUGAACUGUCUCCAACAUCACAUCUGCUUGCACCCCCAUGCUCCCCACCAUGAUGAUAAUAAACAGAAUCUCUGAAAUUGUAGAACUCUCUGAAAGGAUCUGGGUCACAAGUAAGUGAACUGUUCAAGACCACAUGACAGCACCCCUCUGAAAUGAAGCAAGAGGAAGCUGAUUCACUCUCCUUGUGGUUUGAUGUACAGAAUUGCCUCAUUUUCCCAGCAAUGGUAUUUGUUGUUGUUGUUUUACCCCAACUUGCUCAUGUAGUAGAAAUCUUUUCAGUUGGUUUGACUGUUCCAAUUUUAAAGCUACAAGUGUUGUGUUUAUGAUGGUUGCUGCUGCUAUUUAUAUUGUGCUGUUCUUCGAUAAAACUACAGUUUAUUGGGGAAUAUAGUAUUAAUGGAUAAAAAUCACCCACUUCUUACUAAAUUAUGACUUCAAACAGUGGUAAUAUUUUAAUCUGUUGUUAUUAAGUAAGCUUCAUUUAGAAAUUAUUUUAAGACAAACACAGACAUGUAAAAAAUGCAUGAUCAUACUUACAUAUAGAGUCUAAAAACACUUAACUGGAAGUACAAGGGCUGGCCGGGGGAAGAAGAUGGGAAGCUGUUGACCAACAGGCAGAAUUUCAGACAGGAUCAGAUGUUGCAAAGAAUUGUGACUAUGGUCAGCAAUACUCUAUUUCAAAAUAAGUAAGAGUAAAUUUCAAAUGGCUCACUGUAAGAAAUAUAGGGAAGUGAGUUAUAAUUUUAUUAACUGAUUUAAUCAUUCUAUAUUGUGUAUGUCCAUGAAGAGUCAUUAUACUCCAUAAAUGUAUAUAGGUAUGAAAUGUCAAUAAAAUAAUGGAAAAUAAA